ACUGAACGCUGGCGGCAUGCCUUACACAUGCAAGUCGAACGGCAGCACGGGAGCAAUCCUGGUGGCGAGUGGCGAACGGGUGAGUAAAGUAUCGGACGUGCCCAGUCGUGGGGGAUAACGUAGCGAAAGUUACGCUAAUACCGCAUACGAUCGAUGGAUGAAAGCGGGGGAUCGCAAGACCUCGCGCGAUUGGAGCGGCCGAUAACAGAUUAGGUAGUUGGUGGGGUAAAGGCUCACCAAGCCGGCGAUCUGUAGCUGGUCUGAGAGGACGACCAGCCACACUGGGACUGAGACACGGCCCAGACUCCUACGGGAGGCAGCAGUAGGGAAUUUUGGACAAUGGGCGCAAGCCUGAUCCAGCCAUGCCGCGUGCAGGAUGAAGGCCUUCGGGUUGUAAACUGCUUUUGUACGGAACGAAAAGGUUUGGCUUAAUACGUUGAACUCAUGACGGUACCGUAAGAAUAAGCACCGGCUAACUACGUGCCAGCCGCCGCCGUAA
Molecule: ribosomal RNA, 499 nt
Filed under: uncultured bacterium
Lineage: Bacteria
Description: partial 16S ribosomal RNA
Rfam family: Bacterial small subunit ribosomal RNA
Source: RNAcentral